CCUACGGGGGGCUGCAGUGGGGAAUAUUGCACAAUGGGCGAAAGCCUGAUGCAGCAACGCCGCGUGAAGGAAGAAGGGUUUCGGCUCGUAAACUUCUAUUAACAGGGACGAAAGAAAUGACGGUACCUGAAUAAGAAGCCCCGGCUAACUACGUGCCAGCAGCCGCGGUAAUACGUAGGGGGCAAGCGUUAUCCGGAAUUACUGGGUGUAAGGGGUGAGUAGGCGGCAUGGUAAGCCAGAUGUGAAAGCCUUGGGCUUAACCCGAGGAUUGCAUUUGGAACUAUCAAGCUAGAGUACAGGGGAGGAAAGCGGAAUUCCUAGUGUAGCGGUGAAAUGCGUAGAUAUUAGGAAGAACACCAGUGGCGAAGGCAGCAUACCGGCGCCCGACUGACGCUGAGGCACGAAAGCGUGGGGAUCGAACAGGAUUAGAUACCCCAGUAGUC
RNAcentral lists this ribosomal RNA (443 nucleotides) under uncultured bacterium. Its description in RNAcentral is "partial 16S ribosomal RNA". It matches the Rfam family "Bacterial small subunit ribosomal RNA", at positions 338 to 795 of the family's 1533-position model. The record is from RNAcentral.